RNAcentral lists this transfer RNA (87 nucleotides) under Treponema sp. RNAcentral's name for it is "tRNA-Ser". It matches the Rfam family "tRNA". From Rfam's summary of the family: Transfer RNA (tRNA) molecules are approximately 80 nucleotides in length. The record is from RNAcentral. RNAcentral also lists the same sequence under 1 other name. Lineage: Bacteria; Pseudomonadati; Spirochaetota; Spirochaetia; Treponematales; Treponemataceae.
GGAGCGGUGGCCGAGCGGUUGAAGGCAACGGUUUCGAAAACCGUCGAACUCAUACGGGUUCCGGGGGUUCGAAUCCCCCCUGCUCCG